Molecule: RNA transcript, 3284 nt
Organism: Triticum dicoccoides
Lineage: Eukaryota; Viridiplantae; Streptophyta; Magnoliopsida; Poales; Poaceae
Gene name: protein HASTY 1-like
Exons: 11
Source: RefSeq, a predicted model, not a curated record
AUGCAAGAUAGAAAGUUAAGUGAAUCUUUUGAUGUUGUCCCCUCCGCAUUAGUAUGGAAUUCAGAAAUUAUCUUGUUAUCUUUGCCCACUAGCAUUUUCUAGACUAAUAAUGGUAGUGCAGAUUUCAGCUAGAGCUUGCAGAGUUUUAAAAUAUGUUGACCAAAUCGUUUCUUCAAAACCUGGUUCACAAAUACUAUAUCUUGCUAUUGGCUUCUAUGAGUGUGGCUGGACUGAAUCCUUCCACUUUGCUCAUAGCAUUUUAGGUGGAAUGGUGAAUCUUGAAGCGAAAGUACCAAACGGUACGAGCACUUUCUGGCCCUAUAGCUUGAGUUGAAGCCUGGGAUAAAGGUCGUUUUUCUUAUGAAGAUCAAAUAACCCAUGGUUUUGGAUGUCAAGUGUGGAAUAGGCAGACCAUUAAGAGAAAUUCCAAGAUUUAGGUUUAAUUCCCGUUUCGCGCUUUCACCUCUCUUCAUAUCUGUGAAUACUGAUGUGUUCGGGUUUAGACAUUCUCAUAUGCAUGAUUAAUGCAACUGAAGUGAUUCAUGUUUUUCUUACUUUGAACUGAAAACCUGUGGGGGCAUGAUUUUGAGGAGGCGAUCCCGAGCACCAAUAAGUUAGAGAAGUUCGACCUCAACCUUUCCAGGAAUUAAUCUAUUUUGGAACGGAGGUCGCCACCAAGAACGGGUAACAUGGAGGCGUGCCUUAGCCUGGAGCCCAGCAAGAAGAUCGUCGGGAGCUUUGGGACAUUUGAGACGGCCGUUCUCCAUGUGGCCAACGCCAGCCAGCUGCAGGCAUUGCGCCGGCCUCGGCAGGAGUCGGUCAAGCCCAAUUGUAGCAUCUAUUGACCAAUGCAAGCUCCAUCAGGAUGUGCGUAGUGUCCAUAAGUUCCCUUUUGGCCAGUACAUGGAGAAAAAAACAUGGAAUGUACAACAAUCCUACAUGAAACAUUCUGAACGAAGUCUUAUUGAGCUACCCCUAGAAAUUUUUGCAGCUUCUGUGAACUCUUGUUUUAUGUUCUAUAGGGCCAACUUGCAUUUUCACGUCAAGCAUGGCUGAUUAUCAGAGGGCAAGGAAAGAUGGAGUAGCAGAAGCAUUGCUUACGAUGAGUUCAUCGGGUCAAUAGUGCACAUUAACAAGCAUUGCCUGUUGUCCGCCUUCGCCUACUUUGAUGAGGACGAUAGCGGGUACAUCACCGUUGACCGCUGGAAGAGGUGUGCUGGGAGUACAACACAAGCUGACCGGCAUCGCGACAUCGCCAGGGAGGUCGGCAAUGACAACAUGCGUUCGUAAUGACUUGAAGAAAGCAUAUGAGAAGCGAGUAUAGGAGCUUUAAUAUUAGAGCAACAGGGGAGGAGCAAAUGAUUGAAGGGCUAUCAGCCGUGUAAAAGAAAGCUGAGGAUAACGUCACCAGGUGGAAAACUAUAUUUGGUUGACAUAAUAACACUAGCAAAGAACUUAAGGUAGAGGUGAUGGAAGAGAGGCUAUUAGAAGACUUGACUCGUGAAGUUUGUUCUGUGCUUUGGGUUUUAGCAUUACCUGGUUUGAAGAGUAGACUUCCAUCUUUGGAACAACUUGGAACUGUCAACCGGAUUGAUUCUUCUCUUAAACGUCUGGAAUCAUUUGCUUCCAGCUCUCUUACUGGAUUUCUUAUGCUUAAUGUUGACACUGCCCUAACUGCUUUGGGAAUAACUGUUGAAAUGUUCACUUGGACAGAUAGUGAAGCAGUGACUAAAGUAAUACCCUUUUAUGGUGCAUUGAUUCACCUUGCUGUUGCAACAAACCAGGCUGAGCUGAGGCAGUUUGUUAGAAAGGAUAUAUUUUCUUCUAUAACACAGGGCUUAUCUGUUGAGUUGAAUGUCGCUGUUAAUGCGGAGCUUAUUGGACUUUGUCAAGGAAUAUAUCUAUAUCUGUCAGACAAAGAUCGUGCGCCUAAACAGAUGUGACCAAAUCUUUUUAGGCUGACAAGUAUCACUGGAACUGGUAAGUAUCACUAAAGGCUUGAUUCAGCAGCACGUGAUAUGUCCCCCUCACCAGUUACCAUCUGAGUUGUCUUCCCCACCUCUGUUAUCACUCCGACACGGCCGACAUCUCUACCACGGGGAGCCAAGUAGAUAUAAGAAGACAAUGUUAAAUUUAUGGGCAAACUCAAUCCGUCUUGACAAGGUACCAAGGUUGUUGGGCUGAUCGAUCAACUCUCAAGUCAGUGGGAUGACCAGCUGCUGAGGCAAACUUUUAUCUCAGAAGACGCUCGUGUGAUCCUUAGCAUCCCAAUCUGCGAACACUGUGAGGAUCUCAUAGCAUGGCAACCUGACAGCAAGGGCAUGUUUACAGAGUUCACCUCGAUCUGCUGCAGAAUCAAAAGACCAGGCCACUGGGAGAGAGCUCGUCGGGUAACAGGGGGCAAGACAGCUUAUGGCGUAAUAUCUGGAAGUGUACUGCCAAUCCCCGAAGGAGGUUCUUCUAGCCCUGUUGAAAAUGCCAAAUGAAGUGAAGAUGCGAGCUAUUGCUCUUCUAUGGGCCUGGUGGAGUGAAAGAAAGAAAGUGAAUCACAGGCAAAAGCGCAUGCCAGAGAUGGAAUUUCAAUUUAAUAUCGCUAGGUGUGCUGAAUGGAAAGAGUUCCUCGAGCCUAAACCUCCUGGUGUGCAAAAACAUGUUUCUUCCUGGCUGAAACCCCCCACUGGUUUUAUCAAACUGAACGUGGAUGCAGUGUUCCGAGGCGAGUCAAAGGAGGGUGGGUGGGGCCUAAUUGCUAGGGAUGCUGAUGGAGACAUCCUUUGUGCUGCAGCCGGCAUCUAACAACUUAGUCUGGUGCUUUGCAAGCUGAGGCUACGACCCUUCUGCAGGCAAUCCAAUUUACUGAAAUGCAAGUUAUGGGGCGUGUAAUUUUGGAAACUGAUUCCCUGGGCCUGCAACAAUAAGUUACCUCUACAUCAUUAGACCGGUCUCUAUUGGGGGUGUUGUUCCGUGAAGCCAAAUGUCUCCAGUUAGGUAUCAUAGAGGCCAAAGUCAUGUACUGCCCGAGAGCUUGUAAAAAAUCAGCACAUGUGCUGGCGAAUCUUGGUAGCCAGAGUGCCUCUGUGAACCCGUGUUGUGACCGCCGAUUGUGUCGGUCGGAGGUAAGUUUGGAAUGCAUGGUGUUUCAGUUCAACAAAAAAGAUACUACCAUAAUCGUAGAGAGGAGAUCAAGUAUUUCAUCUAUAUUUUUUUGCAAGAAUUAUUUUGAAUUUGUAACAUGUGAAAUAACUUUAUCAACAUUUUAGACGUGCGUUGCACGUGCAAGCUUA